GGCCUGGUGGCCUAAUGGCUAAGGCGUUGCUUUCCGGUGGCAAAGAUUCUGGGUUCGAGUCCCAGCUGGGUCG
Molecule: non-coding RNA, 73 nt
Organism: Ilyonectria destructans
Lineage: Eukaryota; Fungi; Ascomycota; Sordariomycetes; Hypocreales; Nectriaceae
Source: the annotation of a GenBank genome assembly